UUUUUGCUUUGCACACCCGAUUUUGGGUCUGUAGCUCAGUUGGUUAGAGCGCACCCCUGAUAAGGGUGAGGUCGGCAGUUCGAAUCUGCCCAGACCCACCAGUUACCUGGUGAAGUUGGUCAGAGCGCGUACGACACCCGGAUACGGGGCCAUAGCUCAGCUGGGAGAGCGCCUGCCUUGCACGCAGGAGGUCAGCGGUUCGAUCCCGCUUGGCUCCACCACUUACUGCUUCUGUUUGAAAGCUUAGAAAUGAGCAUUCCAUCCUGAUUGAGGGUGCGUGA
RNAcentral lists this transfer RNA (281 nucleotides) under Pseudomonas sp. RNAcentral describes it as "partial 16S-23S ribosomal RNA intergenic spacer". The stretch from base 25 to 98 matches the Rfam family "tRNA". The record is from RNAcentral. Lineage: Bacteria; Pseudomonadati; Pseudomonadota; Gammaproteobacteria; Pseudomonadales; Pseudomonadaceae.